This 127-nucleotide small nuclear RNA is filed under the name Gorilla gorilla gorilla (western lowland gorilla). RNAcentral's name for it is "U1 spliceosomal RNA (ENSGGOG00000030761.2)". It matches the Rfam family "U1 spliceosomal RNA". From Rfam's summary of the family: U1 is a small nuclear RNA (snRNA) component of the spliceosome (involved in pre-mRNA splicing). Its 5' end forms complementary base pairs with the 5' splice junction, thus defining the 5' donor site of an intron. The record is from RNAcentral. Lineage: Eukaryota; Metazoa; Chordata; Mammalia; Primates; Hominidae.
AUACUUACCUGACCAGGAAGAUUCCAUGAUCAUGAAGGUGGUUUUCCCAGGAUAAGGCUUAUCCAUUGCACUCCAGAUGGGCUGACCCUUGAAAUUUCCCCAAAUACAGGAAACUUGACUGCAUUGA